AAAGGAAAAAAGGGGACAGAACGCCCAAGACAGUGCCACGCCCCAGCUACGGCGGGUUUGGCGCAGGCUCACGAAGCUCUGUGUCGCGUCAGCCUUACUCACGGUUUUGGUCUCACCACUCCAGUGAAAUGGCUUUUCUCAACAUCACCAGAGUCCAGAACCAAAACCCCUCAUCGCCAACUGUUUAGUCUGGAUAUAAGAAAGCGGAUAGAUUUUCUUCUCAAAAAGUGGAUUCUUUACUCACUGAGCCACCAGGGAAGCCCCAAAAUGCUGGAGUGGGCAGCCUGUCCCUUCUCCAGGGGAACUUCGUGACUCAGGAAUUGAACUGGGGAGUUCUGAUUACAGGAGGAUUCUUUGCCAGUUUUACAAGACUUCCCUGGCGGCACCUUCCAGUGCAGGGGACACAAGUUCGAUCACUGAUCCAGGCAGAUUCCACAUGUCACCCAUGGGGCAACGAAGCCCAUGCACCACCGCUGCUGAGCCAGCAUGCUGCAACUCCCGCGCCCAUGUGCUGCAGUAAGAGCGGCCACCACAGUAAGAAGCCCAUGCACCCCAACAAGGAGUAGCCCCUACUCACUGCCGCUAGAGAAGGCCUGCGCAAAGCAGCAAAGACCCAGUGCAAC
This is a long non-coding RNA of Capra hircus (goat), 623 nucleotides long. RefSeq lists it as uncharacterized. The transcript has 5 exons. Lineage: Eukaryota; Metazoa; Chordata; Mammalia; Artiodactyla; Bovidae. The record is from RefSeq and is a predicted model, not a curated record.